CGCGCGCACACACACACACACACACACACCCCCCAACACACACUCCCUGUCCCCUUUCUCCACCCUGCAAGCUAGUUGCAUUUAGCUCACAGAGCCUGGGCUGCGACUUGAAAGAGUUUAGGCAGCAACAGAGUGACCCUGGGGGUGCUCUUGACCGACAGCCGCACCCCCGGCGUCUAGGACCUCCGAGCAGGGAUGCAUCUGGAGGUCUAGGGAAGCACUUCCACCCCCUCCUCUCCUCAACCCUGGCAGGAUGUGCCCGAAAUGCCAGCUCCUCCUUGGUGUUCUCCUUUCAGGAUUUGAAUUCAAAUCCCAUUGGCAGCCCUGAUACCGCUGGGGGAAGGGUGAGGCUACUGCUGCUUCAAGACAGUGACGUUUCUCUCCGGUCAGCUGUCAGGAGCGCUGCUGGGUCUUACUGGGGAUCUGGCCAGCCUUGGGGGCCCUUGGAGCCCUGGCCCAGUGGAAGCUCGUGCCUGAGGAACAUGGAGGCCACGCUAAUGAGUUACUUCCAGAGUCUUCAAGAGUGCCAACUGGGACCAGGACCCCAGACCACAGCCCCCCACACCGUCCUGGACCUGGAUUCUGACUGUGGUUCCACUGUACCCCUCACCUUAAUCUCUGGUUCUAACCAGACCUGAGCCUAGACUUCCACUUUUUCCCUUACCCCUGUGAGGGCCUGGGAACACUAGGUGGGCAGGGUUUGAGCCCACAGGACCUGCACACAAACUUCCCCACCUCUUGGACUUGGGGACAGGAUCUGUGCCUCAACCCAGACCAGCUUUGUAGGGAUAUGUUCCAAGAACAGAGAAGAGUCUUAUGGGGAAGGGGGAGGAAGGGAAGUAUGAAUAUUUACCUCUGACCAAUAAUAGAGGUGCCCUGGUCCC
This 884-nucleotide small RNA is filed under the name Pan troglodytes (chimpanzee). Its description in RNAcentral is "processed transcript". The record is from RNAcentral. Lineage: Eukaryota; Metazoa; Chordata; Mammalia; Primates; Hominidae.